GAUGAACGCUGGCGGCGUGCCUAAUACAUGCAAGUCGAGCGAACAGACGAGGAGCUUGCUCCUCUGACGUUAGCGGCGGACGGGUGAGUAACACGUGGAGAACCUACCUAUAAGACUGGGAUAACUUCGGGAAACCGGAGCUAAUACCGGAUAAUAUAUUGAACCGCAUGGUUCAAUAGUGAAAGACGGUUUUGCUGUUACUUAUAGCUGGAUCCGAGCCGCAUUAGCUAGUUGGUAAGGUAACGGCUUACCACGGCGACGGGGCGUAGCCGACCUGAGAGGGGGAUCGGCCACACUGGAAGUGCGACCCGGUCCAGGCUCCUACGGGAGGCAGCAGUAGGGAAUCAUCCGCAAUGGACGAAAGCCUGCCGGAACAACGGCGCGUGCGUGAUGAAGGUCUUGGGAUCGUAAAAAUCUGUUAUUAGGGAAGAACAAAUGUGUAAGUAACUAUGCUCGUCUUGACGGUACCUAAUCAGAAAGCUACGGCUAACUACGUG
Molecule: ribosomal RNA, 497 nt
Filed under: uncultured bacterium
Lineage: Bacteria
Description: partial 16S ribosomal RNA
Rfam family: Bacterial small subunit ribosomal RNA
Source: RNAcentral